GUCACGCCCGAAGUCAUUACCCCAACCGAAAGGGGGGGGAUGCCUAAGGUAGGACUGAUGACUGGGGUGAAGUCGUAACAAGGUAGCCGUACCGGAAGGUGUGGCUGGAUCACCUCCUUUUAGGGAGACCUAAUCCAUUUAGAAAUCGAAAACAAUGAAAAUUGUCAAUAGAAACUAAAGUGGUCUAACCUAGGUCGUUCGAGAUUGGUAGAUAUCUUUCAAAGUAUUAUUCGGCUUCGUUCAAAACCAUAUAUAAUAAAUGGAAAAAGACAGCACCUAAUUGUCAAAGUUAGACUGCUGGAUGAAAUUCCAGCCAGAACCUUGAAAACUGCAUAAGAGAACGAGAAAAAGCAGGCAGACACAGACAUUUAGAUGGAUGUGAAAGCAAAAGAAAUUGUGGUCAAGCUAAUAAGGGCUAAUGGUGGAUACCUAGGCACACAGAGG
Molecule: unclassified non-coding RNA, 444 nt
Filed under: uncultured Nostocaceae cyanobacterium
Lineage: Bacteria; Bacillati; Cyanobacteriota; Cyanophyceae; Nostocales; Nostocaceae
Description: partial contains 16S ribosomal RNA and 16S-23S ribosomal RNA intergenic spacer
Rfam family: Bacterial small subunit ribosomal RNA (bases 1-120)
Source: RNAcentral